UACGUAGGGGGCAAGCGUUGUCCGGAUUUAUUGGGCGUAAAGAGCGUGUAGGCGGCUUUGCAAGUCCGUUGUGAAAACUCGAGGCUCAACCUCGAGACGCCGGUGGAAACUGCAAAGCUAGAGUCCGGAAGAGGAGAGUGGAAUUCCUGGUGUAGCGGUGAAAUGCGCAGAUAUCAGGAAGAACACCCGUGGCGAAGGCGGCUCUCUGGGACGGUACUGACGCUGAGACGCGGAAGCGUGGGGAGCAAACAGG
RNAcentral lists this ribosomal RNA (253 nucleotides) under uncultured bacterium. RNAcentral describes it as "partial 16S ribosomal RNA". It matches the Rfam family "Bacterial small subunit ribosomal RNA", at positions 524 to 776 of the family's 1533-position model. The record is from RNAcentral.